RNAcentral lists this non-coding RNA (21 nucleotides) under Rattus norvegicus (Norway rat). Lineage: Eukaryota; Metazoa; Chordata; Mammalia; Rodentia; Muridae. The record is from RNAcentral.
CUUUGAACUAUUAUGUGACUA